GGUCAAGUAGCUCAGUAGGUUAGAGCACUGUCCCCAGAAAGUGGCAGGGGUCUGGGUUCAAUUCCCAGCUUGGUCA
Molecule: transfer RNA, 76 nt
Filed under: Collybiopsis luxurians FD-317 M1
Lineage: Eukaryota; Fungi; Basidiomycota; Agaricomycetes; Agaricales; Omphalotaceae
Description: Gymnopus luxurians FD-317 M1 tRNA
Rfam family: tRNA
About the family: Transfer RNA (tRNA) molecules are approximately 80 nucleotides in length. Their secondary structure includes four short double-helical elements and three loops (D, anti-codon, and T loops).
Source: Rfam by way of RNAcentral